UUCCUUUUUUAAGUUGGAUUUAAAGAUAGGUGAAAAACAGGAAGGAAUCACUGGAAGCAAGAAUGGAGAUCUCACAGUGAGUUUUGGAGGCCAGGGGAGAGCCUGCAACCUGUGGGUAUUUUUUCUUGCCUAAAGGCUUUCCCAUUUCACCACAGAAAUUGCAUAUGGUAGUGUUGUUGGGGAGCCCAUUCAACAGACUUAUGGAAAAAUCUAUAGAAUCAUUCUAUUGCAAAUUACUCAGUUGCCAGAACUCCUUUCUAGAACAAAGUGGAAUAGAAAUGCAUAAACAGGCCUCUGGGUCACCCCGCAGAAAGACUGGCGUUCAGGGCAGCAUCAAGUCACUGACUUCCCUCAAAGGAGAAGCAGCAAGCUGGCGUGGGACUACGGACCCUGGGGGAGAGCUGGAGGAGAGGUCCUCAAGAUGUCAUCGCUAGGCUACCCAGUGCCUACCCCACAUCAGAAUUCCCCGGAAUGUCAGAUGAAAGGAAAACUUCAGUGCCCAUCAGAUAAGUUUCUCAAAGGAGAAGUCAAUGAAGAGCUAUAAGAUGAAUGCUCUGGACUAAUUGGAUGAAAUAAAAUAUGUGCAGCAGCAUGCUUCUCCAGAGUCUGCA
Long non-coding RNA from Capra hircus (goat), 611 nucleotides. RefSeq lists it as uncharacterized. NCBI's taxonomy places the organism in Eukaryota, Metazoa, Chordata, Mammalia, Artiodactyla, Bovidae. The record is from RefSeq and is a predicted model, not a curated record. The transcript is spliced from 5 exons.